GUCCGGAUGGCGUAGUGGUCAACGCAUCUGCCUAGUGCGCAGAAGACCUGGGUUCGAAUCCCGGUCCGGCACA
Non-coding RNA from Schistocerca gregaria, 73 nucleotides. The record is from the annotation of a RefSeq genome assembly. Lineage: Eukaryota; Metazoa; Arthropoda; Insecta; Orthoptera; Acrididae.